RNAcentral lists this ribosomal RNA (48 nucleotides) under Tricholoma matsutake. RNAcentral's name for it is "partial 18S ribosomal RNA". The record is from RNAcentral. Lineage: Eukaryota; Fungi; Basidiomycota; Agaricomycetes; Agaricales; Tricholomataceae.
GUAUGGUUAUAGGGGUUUCCGUUGGGGAUCUUGCGGAAGGAUCAUUAU